This is a non-coding RNA of Acanthosepion pharaonis, 113 nucleotides long. NCBI's taxonomy places the organism in Eukaryota, Metazoa, Mollusca, Cephalopoda, Sepiida, Sepiidae. The record is from the annotation of a GenBank genome assembly.
UAUGGCCACAUCAUGUUGAAACAUUGGUUACCAUAUGAUCACUGAAGUUAAGCAAUGUCAAGCUUUGUCAGUAUCUAGAUGUGUGACUUCUUGGGAAUACCAGGGGCUGUAAG